This 27-nucleotide non-coding RNA is filed under the name Rattus norvegicus (Norway rat). Lineage: Eukaryota; Metazoa; Chordata; Mammalia; Rodentia; Muridae. The record is from RNAcentral.
UAAGGCAGGGACUAUAUAUAAAUGGGA